Long non-coding RNA from Monomorium pharaonis (pharaoh ant), 1010 nucleotides. RefSeq lists it as uncharacterized. The transcript is spliced from 2 exons. The record is from RefSeq and is a predicted model, not a curated record. NCBI's taxonomy places the organism in Eukaryota, Metazoa, Arthropoda, Insecta, Hymenoptera, Formicidae.
AAAAUUCAGCAGAAAUCGAGCAGAGCCUGCCGUCAUGACAUGACGGCGAAAACGCGGCAGGUAUAGAACGCGAGUUUGCUACAUCAGAUGUGUGAUGACUUCUGCACACAGGACGCGGCAAAGCGGCAUCGCGGCGGUAGUAAGGUUGAUCGCCCGACGUGUCUCCCGUCGAAUCCCACACUUCCCGGACCUGAUCCUCCCAGAAGUCUUCUCAAAGAUUUCCACCUUCAUAUAAAAAAAAGUUCAAAUUGGACGGUUUUUGCAUGUGAUAUCAUCUUGGGUUUAAUUAACUCUCUGCAGUCAGUCGAAAACGCCACAUUUAAAUUUAAGUAUAUAAUCAUAAAAUAUAUAAUUCGUAAUGUAUAUGUAAAUUAAAUAUCAUCAAAUUUAUAAAAUUAUAUAAUGUAAAUUAAAUGUAAUAAUAAUAUUAAUAAACAUAUGUACAUUGCAUACAUUAAUUAUUUAUUUUACUAAUUAAAAAUUAUUAAUAAUACGUCAUAUCGUGUUAAAUUUUUGCUAUAUUUUUCCGAUUACUUGUGACGACAGCUUGGUGCUCGAUUUCUGCUACGUUUUUGCCGUCACAACCGACAAAGCAGAUCGCGUUCUAUAUCUGCUGCGUUUUCGCCGGCAUGUCAUGACGGCAGGCUCUGCUCGAUUUCUGCUGCAUUUUUGCUGUCAGUACUUCAUGUGACACAUCGUGCUGUAUCUUCGCCGCGUUUCUGGUGUCGCAGCGUGAUAGCAUUUCAUGCUUCGUUUUUGCUGUCUUUCUGCGUUUAGAGUUUAAUUUGUCAGAUUGUGUUCGAUAUUUACUAUAAAUUUGCUGUCAUGUUAUGGUAGCAGAUGAUAUUCGAUUUUUGCUGUAUUUCUAUCAAUAUUUUCUGUUGAUAAUCUGUGCUGUUAGAAACUAAGCUUAAUGAGGAAGCAGCAGAUUGAAAUCUGCUGCGAUAUCAUGCUCGAGUUUGCUGGCAUAUUGCCGGCAAGCUGCUAGCAUUUUGCUUGCUGGGUAUAUA